GAUCAUGGCUCAGGACGAACGCUGGCGGCGUGCCUAACACAUGCAAGUCGAGCGGAGACAGUGAGUAGCUUGCUAUGAGCUGUUUUUAGCGGCGGACGGGUGAGUAACGCGUGAGCAACCUUUCCCAGACAGGGGAAUAACACACCGAAAGGUGUACUAAUACCGCAUAAGACCACGGGAUCACAUGGUUCUGGGGUAAAAGAUUUAUCGGUUUGGGGUGGGCUCGCGUCCGAUUAGGUAGUUGGUGAGGUAACGG
This 256-nucleotide ribosomal RNA is filed under the name uncultured bacterium. RNAcentral describes it as "partial 16S ribosomal RNA". It matches the Rfam family "Bacterial small subunit ribosomal RNA", at positions 15 to 263 of the family's 1533-position model. The record is from RNAcentral.